RNAcentral lists this long non-coding RNA (6231 nucleotides) under Equus caballus (horse). RNAcentral describes it as "lncRNA (ENSECAG00000055878.1)". The record is from RNAcentral. Lineage: Eukaryota; Metazoa; Chordata; Mammalia; Perissodactyla; Equidae.
GUCUCACGUUCCGUUGUUUGGUCCUCAGCUGAGGGUGUGGGUUUCUGCGGUGGGGGCUGAGCUGCCCCGGGGUGUGGGGGAGACCAAGGGGCCCACAUCCAAGUCGCCUCUCUCCCGCUUUGGGACUUGGUUCCCAGACGGUCUCGUAGGGAAAGACGCUGGGAUCCCGCCGGUCCCAGCGAGUGUGGCAUCCUGCCCCAGGGGUGUCCUGGAGAUACUUUCCUUCUAAAGGCAGGGGCGCGGGAGGUGACGCAGGGAACGGCUCUCUGUCAGCCCCAGCUCCCCCCUCUGUCAAAUGGGAUGAGAAUGCUCAACCCCCAGGAUCGCUGGGAGCGUUCGGUGACAACACUGGGCCGUCAGAGGAGGGUGUGGACUCUGAGCCUCAGAAGCAGGAGCUGACAGAGAAGAACCAAGUGUGCUGGCGCGUGUGCAGACAGGUUCCUGGAGCAAGAGUGAGGAGAUCAGGGUCCCAUCACUGGGACACUUUAGGUAAGUCGCUCCUCUUCCACCAGUCCUGUCUAUACAGCAGGAUGACGGUACCCAUUGCUGCCGGCCACCCAGGAAUCCUCUGGAGUUUGAGUGUGAUCCCAUGUGGGAAAGCAAUCUGUGCUCGUAGGUGGGAGGAAGGACCAGUGCACUUUCAAGGAAUUACAUUAACAGAGACACCCCAGAUAUCACGGAACUCUGCAUGGCAGACAUCAAAUUAAUAGCACAAAACGUCAGAUACUUAGGUCAGGAUUUCUCCAAGUGUGGUCCGUGGGCUGGGUCACAAAAUCGUCAUGGGUGCUGGUUGAAACAGCAGAUGCACGGCCCACCCUAGGUCUCCUGCAUCCAGAAAGGGGAGGUGGGGUGGGAGGUGUCUGCAUGUUGAGCAAUUUCUCCUGUUGGAUGCGGUAUUCGUCCAAGUUUGAAGAGCACUGCUCUGCAUUUGCAACAAGGUUCUUAAAAUGUUGAAUCCUUCAAUGUCUAGUUUUGGUGUCAGUUUCUCCUGCAACUCAGAUUGAAAUAGCUGUGUCUGCUCUCAAGAAGGGAGCAGUUCUUUAUUCUCAGUAAUACUUAGUGUUUUCCGUAUGAGGGACUGCAUUCGUCUUCCAAGGCUGCCAUAGCAAAGUCCCGCAAGCUGGACGGCUUCACAAUAGACACGUCUUGUCUCACAGUUCUGGAGGCCGGACGUCCAUAAUCAUGGUGGUGCCGGGCCGUGCUCCCUCUGAAAGCUGUCGCAGAAUCUCUCUGUGCUUCUUCCUGCCUUCUGUUGGUUGCUGACAGGCUUUGCGUUUCUUGGCUUGCAGCUGUGUGACUCCAGUCUCCGCCUUCGUGGUCACAUGGUGUUACCCCUGUUGUUCUGUCUUCACGUGGCUGUCUUCUCAUAAGGACUCCAGUCCCCUUGGUUCAGGGGCCCACCCUACUCCAGGAUGACCUCAUCAUAACUGAUUACAUCUGCCGCAAUCAUAGUUCCAAAUAGGGUGACGUCCUGAGAUACGCGGGUUAAGACUCCAACUUAUUUUUGGGGGGGAGACACAAUUCAACCCAUUAAUAUUUGCAAAGUAUCAUGUUUUACUUCUACAAUUUCUUCUGCAUUUAUUAGCGAGAAUUCUUGUAUAAAACAAAUUUAUGUCCUACUUACAGUUUAGUAAAACGCAUUUUAAAAUAAACGUCAUAUUAUGAAGGUCAAUCCACGCCCAUCAAUAUGAGCCCACAUAAUAAUAAAAAUGGCAGCCGAGGCACUAAUGGUCCAUUUGGGAUGACAGUAGUGAUAAGAAUGGUUGGUAUUAUCGCUGACUCUCUCUGUGCCCCACACUGUCGUACGUGCUAACCCUAUGCUUACUCACUUCGUCCUCACCACAACCCGUGAGGAGGAGCUGUCGUCACCCAACUUUAAACAUCAGUGAGGCACAGCAGAGGCAGGGCUAGCAAGUCACAGACUGAGAUCCGAACAGAUUCUGUGCGGCUGCUGGGCCCACAUCUAACCAGUGUUCACCACUGCUGCUCAUCCGAUGAGACCCUCAACCUUACUGUUCCUCAGGGCACAGCAAGUAAGUCAAUCUAGAUACAGGUUUUUCCCCCAAUUAAACACACAAGAAUUUGAAAUAUUGAUGAUAGGACCGGCCCCAUGGCCGAGUGGUUAAGUUCACGCUGUCUGCUUCAGCAGCCCGGGCUUUCGCUAGUUUGGAUCCUGGGUGCGGACCUAGUACCGCUCAUCAGGCCAUGCUGGGGUGGCGUCCCAUGUAGCACAGCCAGAAAGACCUACAACUAGAAUAUACAGCUAUGUACUGGGGGCUUUGGAGAGAAAAAAUAAGAAAAUGAUUGGCAACAAACGUCAGGACCAAUAAAAACAUAAAAAUAAAUAAAAUUUGAUAGUAAUCAUUGUGGUUUCGAGUUGAGAUGACACUUGUCCUGUUAUAAUCUAGCAUGUUCCCAGACAUCUCGUCACCCUUCCUGUGCAUCAGGGACAUUGCCAUUCUAAAGGCUUUUCUGUGAGUGGGCUGGGAAUGCUCUUGCUUCUCUCCUCCUUUUUCUAAUAUAUAGUUGCAAGAGCAUUAAGUAUUUAUUAUAGGUAAAAAUAGAUAACGGGAAAAUAUCAUUACCCCAAAACGUACCACCCAAAGAGAAGCCCUGCAUGUUUUCAUCUGCAUUAUUUUUUUCCAGCAGUUUUCUUAUGCGAGCAUAUAUAUAUAUUUAUGCAUGUUUGCGUAUGUGUGCGUUUUUAGCUACAAAAGAUAAGAACUCAUCUUACAUGCAGUUUGGCAAUUUUCUUGCCUCAUUGUAGUGGGUAUGAUUUGUGUCCCCCGGAAAGAAAUGUCCAUGUCCUAACCCCCUCACGUGUUUGAAUGUGACCUUCGUGGAAAAUAGGGCCUUUGCCCUCCAGGACCAGUUGAACUGACCCCAUCUUAUUAACAGUAAUUAAAUUGUCUUUCAGAUAAUUUGCAAAGCCAUGUAGCCAGAGCAUGUGCAGAAGAAGAAAUCUUGACCUGAAAUGACCACAAAACUGGAGAUUCUCCUUCCCAUGGAACGAAAGCACCAGGGCAUGACCAGAACUUAAAAGUCAGAUUCAUAUCAGAAGCCAGGGUCCAUCAUUCAGGCAGAUCCUGUGUUAAAAUUACUUCCUCACAUUUCUAUAAAAGUUUAGAACCUGACCAUAAAUACUUGAAGUCCACCAAUCAAAACCUGUCCCGCAAGCAUUUCCACAUGCCAGGCUGUUCUCCCUAACCUCUAAAUUUCGCCCCAAAUCCUGAAGUGGGGAGACAGAUCAGAGGGUACAUGCCCCCAUCUCCCUCCAGAUCAAUCACACAGAAUAAAGCUGAUUUCUUUUCCCAAAUGAUGAUGCCAUAAUAAUUGGCUUCUAUUUUAAAAUAUUCAUCAAGUAGGAGAACCCCAUUUGUGUGGUAACAAAUUUUGGCAACCAAGAAGAGAGAAGGUCUUGUGACCACCUGCCUGAGGCUCUGGAGCCGCUGGCUUUGUGCAGGGUCUUUCACUGAUCCUAAGUGGCCGCUUAGACAUUUUGUCUGGAGGCUCAGCUGAUUGGAUUCCUCUUUCCCACCGUGGCACCCCAGGCCCCCUGGUACUCUUUAUCCUUUUCAGAGAGGAAACUUCUCCAGGAUCAGAUGUCUUUUGGGACACAAUUGGAAACACUGGUUAUAUUACUAGGGGUUUGAUUGGAAUGUCAUAUUUCAGAGAAACCUGCACAGAUUCAGAUAUGAUGAGAGAGCUUUUGAGGAACAAAGAUUCACUUCAUGGAAUAAAGCCACUUGGAAAUAUUGGCCUGGUACCUUACUUACAGGUUCACAGCAACUUUACCAGGAAUCAUUGAGACAUGAAACAACCUUUUUUCCUGAAGCCCUGCAAACUGAAGCUGGAUGACUUGAUAUAAACAAAUGCUUCUUAUUAAAUACCUGACUACAAUAUAGGCUUAACUUUGGGAGCCCACCUGCAUAAUCACCUUACAAAGAGACUGGUUCAAUGAGAUGGAAUAACCUCUGACCCUCAUCAACAGGAAGAAGCUACAGCAGUCAUCACCCUACAUCCUCAGGUUUGAGGAAUGAACACCAAAAAUGGGGGAUUUGUAACCAUGGGCCCAAUUAUAGCCAAUUUGAACGGACCUCAUCUCUCAUCAACAGAGUGAUCAAGAAAUUGUCUUUCAGAAAAUUUGCAAACUCAUGUAGCCAGAGCAUGUGCAGAAGAAGAACUCUUGACCUGAAAAGACUGUAGAACCAAAGGUUCUCCUCCUCACGGAACGAAAGGACCAGGACAUGACGAGAACUUAAAAGUCAGACUCUUAUCAGAAGUGAGGGGUCUAUCAUUCAGGAAGAUCUGGUGUUAAAAUUCCUUCCCAAUGUUUCCAUAAAAGUUUAGAACCUUACCACAAAUGUUUAGAACCUUACCAUAAAUGCUUGAAGCCCACCAGUCAAAACCUGUCUUGCCGGCAUUUCUGUGUGCCAAGCUGUUCUCCCUAACCUCUUGAAUUUCACCCCACAUCCUGAAUCAAGGAGACAGAUCUGAGGGCACAUGCCCCCUAUCUCCCUGAAGAUCAAUCUCACAGAAUAAAGCUGAUUUCUUUUCCCAAAAGCUGGUGUCAUAAUAAUUAGCUUUGUUUUAAUGCACAUGGGGUAUGAGAACCCAAUAUGUUCAGUAACAAUGUAUCUUGGGAUCUGAAUUCUCUAAUCUUCCUGAAGGCUGACAGUACAUGCUAUCCUAAUUCUUUACUUUUUUAAUAAUACUUCUGUUACAACACAAAAUUGGGGUUCUCCUACUGGCUACGUGGCUUUGUAAAUUUUCUGAAAGAUAAUUUAUUAAUUACUCUGUUAAUAAGAUGGAGUCAGUUGAACUGGUCCUGGAGGGCCUACGGUUACACUUACAUUGUUUCUAAGUCACAUUACUGAAAUUUAAAACACUUUCUAAAUGAAAAAAAAUGCACAAAGAGUUGUUAAAACAGAGAAGACAUUUGUAAACUACACCUCACAUAUUGGGUUCCUAUCCAUGAUUUGUGAAGCACACUAGGUAACAAAAUGACUGGUAACUAAUUUCAACAGAGAAUUCAAAUAAAAAUCAUAUAUAUAUAUGAACAAUAAGUAUGUUAAAAUAUGCCUAAACCAUUAGUGUCUUAGGGUUCUGCAGAGAAAUGGGAACAGUACGUUAUGUGUUUAUACAUAAAAGGAGAUUUAGAGCCAUCUGAUUGCCCAGUGGUUGAAGUUUGGCACUCCCGGCUUUGGUGGCCUGGGUUUGCUUCCUGGUCAUGGAACCACACUAAUCAUCUGUCAGUAGCCAAGCUGUGGUGGCAGCUCACAUAGAAGAAUUAGAACGACUUGUAACUAGGAUAUACAACUAUGCACCGGGGCUUUGGGGAGGCAAAAAAGGGCAGGGGAGAUUGGCAACAGAUGUCAGCUCAGGGCAAAUCUUUCUCUGCAAAUAAAUAAAAGGAGAUUUAUUAUGAGGAAUUGGCUUACGUGAUUAUGGAGACUAAGAGGUCUCAUGGUCUGCUGUUUGCAAGCUGGGGACCCAGGAAAGCCAGUGGUGUAAUUCAGUCUGAGUCCAAAGGCCUGAGAACCUGGCAAGCCGAUGGUUUAAGUCCCAGCGUGAGGGACAGAGGAUGCGAUGACAUGUCAAGUGAUGAGGCAGGAAGCAGAAAGGGGUGAAUUCCUCCUCCCUCUACCUUUUGUUCUAGCCAGGCUUUCAACGGAUUGGAUAAGGCCCCCACACACCAGGGAGGACAAUCUACUGAGUCCACUAAUUCAGAUGCUAAUCUCAUCCAGAAACACCCUCAUAGGCACACCCAGCAAUACUGUUUGACCUGGGCACCCCAUGACCAGUCAAGUUGACACAUAAAAUUAACCAUCACAACUAGAACUAAUAGAUGAAAAUAUAAACCCUAAGAAGAACAUUAAGUGGAAAAAGCAAGAUGCAAAAGAUGAGUACCAUGAUUCCUCUUUUGGAAGAGACCCUGUGUGUGUGUGCAGGUGUCUGUGUUCAUGCACCCCUCCCCCACAGGGACGCAUCUGGAGAGGAGGCCCUGCUCUAUGACAACAGGUCCCUUAGGGUCAGGGGGGAAGUCAGGCCCGUGAGAGAUGCAGAUUACUUUAUAAUAUACUUUCUUAUAUUGUUUGAAAUUUGAUACUCAGUAAAAACAGUAUUUGGAUAAAAAUCUGAACACCAAAUAUAGUUGUGAACAAAUUGACAAAAGUAAUAAUGCACGUAUAUUCAUUACUUUGAAAAAGCAUUCAUUGUAUUCAAUUUUAU